Juglans regia (Persian walnut) is the source of this 1755-nucleotide long non-coding RNA. RefSeq lists it as uncharacterized. The record is from RefSeq and is a predicted model, not a curated record. NCBI's taxonomy places the organism in Eukaryota, Viridiplantae, Streptophyta, Magnoliopsida, Fagales, Juglandaceae. The transcript is spliced from 7 exons.
ACAAGCAAGAACCCAGAAAACCUGGAAAGUAGGAGGAAGAAACUUUGCAACAAACAAGAAAAUUAGUUUUUCUUAUCGAAAAUGACGCAACAACCCUCAUUCAUUUCGGCUCAAAACACCGAUUCAAAGUUUAUUUACUAAGUUUUUAUUGUUGUUGCAUUUGGUGGACUUUCUUCCUCAGUUACCCGCUGGUUAAGGUUCUUAGAGCUUGAGAAGUCGGGGCUGUUUCGCUGGUUGAUGCAGUUCGGCGGCUUCAAGGAGCGCCUUUUAGCCGACGACCCGUUCCUCUCCAUGGUCGGAAUCAAGUACUGCAUUGGAAUGUUCACCAUGAUUCCGUGCUUGUUUCUCUUCCUGCCCCUACUGUUUCUCUCCGACCACCACUUGCAACUAGUGCUGGAACAAUUGCCAAGUUCUUCCAUAACUGCCUUGAUAAUGCAUUCCAGGUUGCUCUUGCCGGAACCUCAUAUUCAUUUCUACAGAGAUUAGGGGUUGUGGUGGUAUCGAGUCUUAGCUGGUGUUAUUGAACAGCAGAUUCUGGAUACUUUGCUACACCAUCGCAAACUUAUGUUGAGUGCUAUUUGCUCUACUGCUCGGACAGCACCUUCUCGCCAUUAAGGUGGAGAACCCGUGUAUGGGUGAAAUCAGUCUUGGACAACACCUUCUCGCCAUUAAGUUCGUCUUAUCGUCCACAUGGAAUUAGAAUCUGCAGAAUGUGUAAAUUCUUGGUGGGUUGAUAUAUGGGGGUUCUUUUAAUUUUGAUGUUGUGGAUCCACGAAGAAGUGUACUUAGUAAUGUGCUGUGUGUUAAUGUGUCAGCUUGUGGGCGGUCUGGCUAUUGGCAUGUCGAUAAUAAUUUUUUCUAGCUUGUAAUUUUGGGUUGUUGCUUGACAUGUGUGGGUGGUGAUUGGUUAAGUGAAGUUUAUUGGGAUGUUGAUAGUUUAUUGAGACUUGUGAAAUUGUUUAUUAAUUAUGUUGAGAUCCUUGUAGAGGAACAUCUAUAUUUAGUGUGAACAAAUGAGUUUUUAUUCUACAAGUAAAAGAGGCUAUCUAAGAAUGAAUAGUAAAAUUUCGACCACUUCUUUUUUCCAUUUUUAUCCCUCUAUUUUAUUCAUUUUCCAUUUUUGUCCCUUUGUAUGCCUCUGUCUGGGGUUGUUUUAUUCGAUGGGACAAAAUGGUAAAAGCCGCUGGCCCUAAAAUUUUCAUCUGUCUCUCUCUCUCGAAUUUUUUCAAGAACCCAGAAAACCUUUUUAUUUUUUGACAAGCAAGAACCCAGAAAACCUAGAAAGGAGGAGGAAGAAACUUUGCAACUAACAAGAAAAUGAGUUUUUCUUAUCGAAAAUGACGCAACAACCCUCAUUCAUUUCGGCUCAAAACACCGAUUCAAAGUUUAUUUACUUAGUUUUUAUUGUUGUUGCAUUUGGUGGACUUUCUUCCUCAGUUACCCGCUGGUUAAGGUACGAAUGGAGGUUUUCUUCAGUUUUUGUAUUUUCUUCAUCUUCUUUCUUAUUCUCUCAUCUUUGGGUCUAAUCUGUGAGUUAAGGAGGUUGAAGUUUCUGUGAAUAGAUGGCUUAGAGUUAGGGUUGUGUUUUGGUCAAUUAAAAUUGAGGGUUUAUUGUAUUGGGUUUAAUUUGUUGACAAAUCAUUGAAUCGAGAAAUGAACCAACAUCACUUUUUAAGUUCAUAGUAGUGCGAAAGUGUCUUGAAUCUCUUGAGAUGUUAUCAAAGGUCGUUACCAAUGAUACCAUGUGUUGUUUUG